This 974-nucleotide long non-coding RNA is filed under the name Equus asinus (donkey). Its description in RNAcentral is "lncRNA (ENSEASG00005036498.1)". The record is from RNAcentral. Lineage: Eukaryota; Metazoa; Chordata; Mammalia; Perissodactyla; Equidae.
GGUGAGAGACGAUGAAGUCGUGAGCCACUAGAAGUACCAUGGAGGAUAUGGAGAAGUAAUUCCAGUGAUAUUAAGGACACUCGAUGGCUGAUUAGAUGAGAGUGAGGAGUUAACAUACCUAGGUUUUUUGGACUGAACAACUUGGACAAACAGAAGGAAGACUAGAAUUAGGAACCGGGUGAUACCUCCAGCUUCGGAGAUGCCAGCUAUCUGGAAGAAACCGUCUAGGUUAUUGGGGUGUGCCCAUGCAGAUGUCUCCCGCACAUACUUUCUCAUUGCCUUGGUUUCACAGACACCUUGAAGGGCCACAGAGUCAUCCUUGCUCCCUGACUAAUGCUUGAAACAUCCCUCUUCGAGGUUUAUGCUGUGCCUUCACAGGAUGGUCCCCGAAACAAGAUGUGCAACAAGCCAGUCCUCCCCCAGCCUACACCAAGCUCUCAACUCUGCCCGAAGGAAAGUCUCCCUCCUGAUCUGCAAUGCUCUUAGUAAGCUUCACCAUGCAAACUGUGCCAGAAGUCAUGAGUCCAGGAGCCAGAGCUGCACGGCACACUUGGGCCUGAAGUGUUUCCUCUAUCACAGUAGUUUUUACCAGGGGUUGAUCUUGCCUCCCAGAGCACAUUUGCAAUGUCUAGAGACAUUUUGAUUAUCAUGACUGGAAAGUUGCUAUUCAUCUAAGGGGUAGGGGCCAGGGAUGCUGCUAAACAUCCUACAAUGCACAGGACAGCUCACAGUGAAGAUAAUGUGUUGGUGUUGCCAAAGUUGAGAACUCAAGUCUGCUCUACCAGAAUGCAGAAGGAAGUAUAAUGAACAAUCUUUCAAGCCAUGAGAAGACAGAAGCAGUCUUGUUGCUUUCAAUGUUUGAUCUCAAUUCUCUAUCUGCAGUGCCUCUUGGAGCCUGGUAACUGAAGAUGCUCUAAAAUCUGUGUCUCUAUAGAAUGAGAGACUGUCAAUAAAUGAAAGAGUGCGUGAAUGCU